Molecule: long non-coding RNA, 509 nt
Filed under: Bos taurus (domestic cattle)
Lineage: Eukaryota; Metazoa; Chordata; Mammalia; Artiodactyla; Bovidae
Description: long non-coding RNA NONBTAT023763
Source: RNAcentral
GCAACAUGUUACCAAAAAAAGGUUUUAAGUGGAACACACAGGUUUUCUAAAAGUAUAGCACCCUACAGACAUACACUCUAUGUCUCUAAACUAUAGAUUUUUUUUUUUAAGUUGAAGUAAAAGCUCCUUCUUUGGUAGGCCUCCUUCCCCACCCCCCCAUAAGCCAUGUACAUUUUGCAUUCUUUAAUUUGGAAAGCAGUUCUGAAGCAUUUACAUGAUCAAUGUCUUUUGCUUGAGGGAUAAAGUUUGCUCUUCCAUGGACAAGUGAGAACAUAUUGAUCAUUUUAUUCUAUUUGCUAUUUCUAAAUUCAAUAUACCUCUUGAGUCGAUAAGCAAGAUCGAGAGCAUAUUCUUUUUUUGUGUGUGCCUGGUUGUAGCUUGUUCUCAAGAUUCAAGAUACAUUUUUGAUUAAUCACGAAUGCUCUGAGGUCAUGGAGAGCAAAUGUGUUUGUGGAGUGUCAGCUGAUGCUGUCAGAUAAAUGUCUUAAGCUUAGCCAGGGUUCAUGCCC